Xenia sp. Carnegie-2017 is the source of this 1080-nucleotide long non-coding RNA. RefSeq lists it as uncharacterized. The transcript is spliced from 2 exons. NCBI's taxonomy places the organism in Eukaryota, Metazoa, Cnidaria, Anthozoa, Malacalcyonacea, Xeniidae. The record is from RefSeq and is a predicted model, not a curated record.
UCGUUCAACACACAAGAAAAUUAAAAAUUUCAAAAUUGCUUAUCUCAAUACAACUAUCAAUGUCGCUUUAUCUCAUUGACAUAAUUUUUUAUACAGGCAAAAUCGUUAAAUAUUGAAAAAGAAAUACACACCGUAAAUAAUUACGGCUAUGCCGUAAGUGUUAAGUUUUUUUAAAACGACUCUGCAUGAUACAGAAAAUUAAAAAAAUUCAAAACUGUCUAUGUCAGAUAAUAAUGAAUGUCGCUUUCAUCCCAUUGAGGAAAUUUUUUACCGAUAAUAUCGUUAAAUAUUGAAAAGGAAAUACACAUUGCAAAUGAUUAAGCCACCUGAAAGAGUUCAGUUUUCUCAAAAAAGACAAACUCAAUAUGGAAGCAUAAAAUACAGUUAUAAUAGAACUUAUUAAAACAAUAAGAGUAUUAUCACAUCAAAUCAUUGAAAUUUUAGCGAUAAAGAUGAUAAAAGGUAAAAGAACAAAAAGAUAAAAUAUUGAAAUAUUUAUAAGUAUUUCACACACAUCUGGACAGGACAGUAAUUAUUCCUGCAAUGUGUCUAAAGAUUGUUAUAUAAAUGACGUGAGUGUAAGUCAUUAAUUGUCCGUUGGAAGGUAGAACAUUCAAUCACAAGAAAAGGCGCACGUUUUAAUUAUAUAGAAAAGAUAAUCAAUUAGGAAGAAUGUUCGUCAAAAACAUGCAAGUCUGUUUUAUAACAGUUGUACUGUUAACGAUGGAGCUGGCGUUGCAGCCGGCACCUGCAAAUGUGUAGCAAUGUGGCACACUUGUUUCUUGUCAUGUGGCGACGCAAGUCAAAGGAUCGUUUGCUCUGAUUGUUCUUACGGUAGAAGUUUAUGCUUCGACAAGUGCUUUAGAAGACAACAAGACUCCAUGAGUUCAUUUGAUGACGGUAAUGAAGACAAUUUAGUCCAUGUAAAAUAAACUCAUAUCUGACAUGUAAUUAAUGAUAAUCAAACUACGAUGAUAACUUAAGAAAUAGAACUAUAUGAUGAUAAUAAAUAAUGUUUGGAAAUUGUAAAACUGACGUUUAGAAAUAAAGGCGACAGAAUCGAUUGUGUAAAAGCAACAA